CGAAAGCCUGACGGAGCAAGACCGCGUGAGGGAGGAAGGCUCUAGGGUUGUAAACCUCUUUUAUCAGGGAAGAAGCUCUGACGGUACCUGAGGAAUCAGCAUCGGCUAACUCCGUGCCAGCAGCCGCGGUAAUACGGAGGAUGCAAGCGUUAUCCGGAAUCAUUGGGCGUAAAGCGUCCGCAGGUGGGAGUUCAAGUCGAUUGUCAAAGGCAGUAGCUUAACUACUGAAAGGCAGUGGAAACUGAACAACUAGAGUGCGGUAGGGGUAGAGGGAAUUCCCGGUGUAGCGGUGAAAUGCGUAGAGAUCGGGAAGAACACCAGUGGCGAAAGCGCUCUGCUGGACCGGCACUGACACUGAGGGACGAAAGCUAGGGGAGCG
Molecule: ribosomal RNA, 379 nt
Filed under: uncultured cyanobacterium
Lineage: Bacteria; Bacillati; Cyanobacteriota
Description: bacterial SSU rRNA
Rfam family: Bacterial small subunit ribosomal RNA
Source: RNAcentral